UCUCUCUAUCACCCUGAUCACACCAGAUCUCAUCUGAUCUCAGAAGCCAAGCAGGGUCAGACCUGGUUAGAUACUAGGAUGGGAGAC
RNAcentral lists this ribosomal RNA (87 nucleotides) under Neogale vison (American mink). Lineage: Eukaryota; Metazoa; Chordata; Mammalia; Carnivora; Mustelidae. The record is from RNAcentral.